This 23-nucleotide non-coding RNA is filed under the name Cricetulus griseus (Chinese hamster). Lineage: Eukaryota; Metazoa; Chordata; Mammalia; Rodentia; Cricetidae. The record is from RNAcentral.
CAUUGAGAAGGCAUGUGCGGACG